GCUGGGUGUGGUGGUGCACACCUGUAAUCCCAGUUACUCAGGAAGCUGAGGCAGGAGGACUCCAAGUCUGCAGUCAGCCUCAU
RNAcentral lists this small RNA (83 nucleotides) under Marmota monax (woodchuck). The record is from RNAcentral. Lineage: Eukaryota; Metazoa; Chordata; Mammalia; Rodentia; Sciuridae.